Long non-coding RNA from Synchiropus splendidus (mandarinfish), 3223 nucleotides. RefSeq lists it as uncharacterized. The transcript has 3 exons. Lineage: Eukaryota; Metazoa; Chordata; Actinopteri; Syngnathiformes; Callionymidae. The record is from RefSeq and is a predicted model, not a curated record.
UGAAUGCUUUUCCAAGAUGCCACUGAAGAAAUAGCGUCUGUACCUAUGGACGAUCAUUCUGAGCCCAUGCAGGUGGGGAGAACGCGACUAACCCCGAAGGAGCGCCAGCUCCGGAUUUCAAAGGGUUUAUGUAUAUACUGUGGUCUGGCGGGUCAUUUGUGCUUGUCCGGUUUGUCCAAGGAGCCCUCAUCUUCCUCCCGCCCCUCCGUCUUCCUCAUCCCCUUUGGUACUUGGUUUUCCCUGGCUUUCUCUCCACAACCCUCAGAUUAACUGGACUCGUUCCAAGAUUUCUGGUUGGAGUCCUCACUCCCACAGCCUCAGGUCUGCAGCUAACUCCUACGUCCCUCCACUCCUCUGCCACCCCCUGACCUCUCUCAAGCUUACUUGUUACCACAACCUAGGAGAGGUUUUAAGCAAGAAUCAGGCUCUCUCUCUCCCUCCUCUUUGUCCCUAUGAACCUUUUCAAAUCCUGCUCCAUGUGCAACAGAUCCAAGUCCUCCCACCGCCCUCCCGCUGGUCAUCUACAACCGCUGCCACUAGUGAUGGGUCCUGCAACACCGAUGCGCCGGCGCGCGUGCCGAGCUCACAGAGCAACCCCGCGUAGGUGCGCGUACCGCUUUAAGACAAUCAUGUGACUGUGUCGACUCGUCAAAAACACGCCGAACUGUGUUUAUGAGGAAGCUCAUCUGUCAACAGGAUGCAACUGCUGAAACAAUCUGAUCACACGGUUCCUCGUGAAUAUCUUGUGUGGAUCUGUGUGGAUAUUUGAGAAUAGAGAAUCAACACCCACCAAGCAUUAAUUACUCUAAUUCCACAACCAAAUAAAAAAUACUGACAUGACCGAUGAUUACAUCAUUAAUAAAUAUUUAAUGAAUCGAAAAUGGGCAUAAAACAUUUUGAAACCAUCAUGUUAAUUUCGUAGUUUCACUCAGAGACGCAACUUACCUGGUUUAUCAACUGCCUGUUGGUGUUUCUCCUCGGAUGCUGUCGCCGUUUGUGUCUUUCCCAGUGACUCAGCGGUUCCACAGGUGAACCAGUCUCUGGUGUUUCCUCUAAUCACCUUCAGUCGCCGCUUUCUGUCACAUCCGCAGGUCCGGAUACUGGACACACAGGUUCGCGUCCCGUCUCUGGGCAAAGAGAUCAAGCAUGAAAUGCAGACUUACAACCAAAAGCACUCCACACUGUCCAGCCAGUUGAAUGAAUGACUUCUCCUAUCAUCAGAUCCAGGUAGACAAAGUAGACUAAAUUCAUUGUUUUCACAUCGAAAAGUGGAUGCUACUGUACCUUGUCCUUGACAAGUCACAGAAGGAAAAGUGUUUUUUGUUUGUUUCGUAACUCACAACAAAAAAUAGCAUCUUUACUUGAUACUAUGUUUAUAUUUUAGGAAUGGAAUUCAGUUAAUUGUUUAUAAAAUUGGCACUGAAUUUUGUCAAGGCGCGGCAGGAAAAAUAAUUUAAACACAUACUAUCUACUCUUCUCCCAAAUAAACUCUAAUCAGUCUUUAAAAAGCAAAUAAUCAAAAGAUUGUGUCUCAUUGGAAAAUUGAAGUGUGAAGUCACUUGCACAUUUUCAUUUAACUUCAAGUGCAAACAGCGAAACAGCCGUGAUUUCACGUAGCUAUUGUUGGGUGGUCUUAUGCGGCCAUUUUCCUAUAUUUUUGUAGCCUGCAUGAAGUCAGAUGAAAACUAUACAACUGAUAUGUAGUACUUCUUCUUACUAUUUGUUUUUGUCCUUUUUCUUUUUUAGCCAUUACUAGCUCAACAUUAGUUAAAAUAUGUUCUUGUUUUAAGGCUUUUUUUUUUCUUUUACUUUAACAUUAUUGUGCAUAUUUCCUGUUCAUCGAAAUACAUUGACUGCAACUUGAAAAUGUAUUUUCAAAUAAAUUACCUUUUUGUCAUUCUUAAACGUCUGGUCCAUAGUUUAAUUGUGAUUUAUAUUCAAAUACUAUGCAUAUAAAAUGAACAAUUUAUUGAGAUUUCAGGUUUCGUGGCAUAUUUACAAUUGUUCAUAUCCUAACAUUUAAUCGUUUUCGGUCCAGUUUGUCCUCCUGUUAUUUGAGGAUAUAGUUUGGAUUUUUUCCCCCGACAUGUUUUGUUGUCAUCACUGCCACUCUUUUGCCAUGAUGGUCCCUCACAACAGCCAGUUUUUAUAAUAUGGCCCUUCAAUUAAUCUGCCCUCCUCUUCCAGAAGUGCAGCGUCUGCCACCUGGUGGCCAACAGUAGACACGACACACCCAGAAAAUGUAAGGGCGGUGCUUCUUGUAGUGGACAGGAACCGUUUCUUCCACAGGUUCAAAAAAAUAUCGCGUUCUGUAAGUGGUUAAACAGAAAGUAGAUUGGAUGAAGUCAUGUCUUUACCACUUUGAUUCAUCAAGGUCAAUGACCAGGAACAACCCUGUGACAGAGCAGUCUCAGAACACAUGCUUGCCUGAAGUUUCAGCACCUCCAGAUUCUGUCAUUCAGCUGAUGGGUCAGAGUAUCUUUUGCAUAGUCACGUUAGGAGGAGAUAUUGAGAAACGAAAAAUGAGCGCUUCUUCAAUAUCAAUUUCAAAAGCAUAAAAAAUAAAAUUUCAUCACCGGUCUUCUUCUUGCUUUCACAAUCCAAAAUAAUACAUUUUAGAGUCAAAAUGGAUAAUAAAAGGAUAAUAACUGAUGGACUAAUUUGCCUAUCUUUUUUUGAUCGGAUGUGAAGGUUUUCAAAAUGAGCGCGUCUUGGAACACCAGGUGAAGCCUCUAUACGGAGAUGAUGGACCUGUCCAACGACGAGGACAUGAGUGCAAACAAAGUGAGCUGCAUUUUUCAGCAAACUUGGCCCUGUUUCCUGAGGAGUCCGGUCUGUUCAGCUGAUUUGACCUUGGCCUACUGGGACACUCUGGAGUUCACGGUGAGGCAGAAGACAGUUCAGCAGCUUCGGGAACCCUGGACCGACGAUUCGCUUUCAUGCGGACACCUGCGACAUCCAGCAGUCGAAAAUACACCUCAGCCUGCCUCGCCAGAGCGUCGCUCACCAGAACAGCUCAACGGCUCCCAAUACUGGAAACUAAAUCCCAGAGAGAUUCUUGCUGUGCACGAGUGUGACUUCAAGGUUUGGCAGGGAUCGGACACGUUCCAUAAACUCGCACCAUUUUCAGCACAAAAUCUUUUUACUCUUCUUGCUGAAAGUCUUAGCAGUCCACAUUCAGGCAUUAUUUGAGUCUCUAAAAUCAUAUUGUCGCAAGGUUCAA